Molecule: long non-coding RNA, 617 nt
Organism: Calidris pugnax (ruff)
Lineage: Eukaryota; Metazoa; Chordata; Aves; Charadriiformes; Scolopacidae
Exons: 3
Source: RefSeq, a predicted model, not a curated record
UCCCACCCUUUGAGAGAUUUGAGGUCACCAGAGUCAACUACGUUGGGAAGAGCACCUACAUCCGGCUCGAGUCCAAGGACACAUUCAGCAACUACAACUGCGAAUGGGUGAAAGAGAAGGGAUGCAAGGACCAGCCGUGCGACUUCGGCGCAGGCAGGACCAUCAUCGGGGACCCCCGGCUCCUCUGGGGGCUCCUCCUGGCAGCCACGGCCCUGGCAGUCACGGGGGGACCCUGAGCCCCGAUGCCACUGCACCACGGUGAGAGAGAGGGGUCCAGCAUGGAAGACACCAGCAUCAUCGGGAUGGUGGGAUGGGAGGGGACAGCAUUUGGGGCUGGGGGCACUGGGACAGCCCCGCUGCCGCCCCUGUUCCCAGCUGAUGCCCUGCCACGGUGCCACCCAUCCUGGGAUGUGCCCCCAGCCUCAGGGACAACAUCAGGGACCUUCAGCAGAGCUGCAGAUGGGGCUGUUGGAUGCAGCUGAGCGUGGGGUGUCCCCCCCCAGGGAUGGGGGUGGCCGUGGAUUUUGGGGGGAUGCAGCAGGGCUGCCUUUGGGGGUGUCCCUGCCCAGCCGACUGUUCCCGCCUUCCCUUCCCCCCUGGCUCCCAGAAAAUAAAGA